CAAAAGGAAGAUGCCACUUGUCAGAACCACACCAGUAACAACCUCCUAGGUUGCCCUUGAAGCUCUCCAUGUUUCGUGCUCCAUCCCUUGUAUAUAAACAAAUACCCAACAGAAAUGGCUUCUUAAUCUUGAUUAAUUAAGAACCUAAAUCAUCUUUCUACGCAGUUUUACUUUGAACCGCUGUUCUGUCGGAGAGAAGAUGUCAGAAACAGCAAACAAGAAAGCGGAAAGAAAGCCACAACGUCAAGCAUCAGCCAAGGGGGACCCGGUGGCCCUCAAAGAGGUUGGUGAGAUCAGUCAUGACGAGUUCUGCGAGACGCUGCACCAGCAGACUCUCCCAGACGAGAAGUUGGAAGAUGAAAUCUCCACUCUCUCUAUUAAUGCAGCGAAUAGUGUCCUCAAGACCCAACAGAAAUGACAGCGUGUAGCCGGGACCAUUUCGAUUUGUAUAGAAGAUAUUGUCUUUGUUCGCUAUCUAAGAAGAUCGUGAUCCCCGGUAUCAACACCGGAAGAUCAUUGUAAUAAACCUUCUGUUGCUCAUCGAUAUGAACUGACAGUUUCGAUUGGUUUAAGAGUAAUAACAUGUCUAACCAGAUCAAAUUGACAGCACUGUA
Molecule: non-coding RNA, 614 nt
Organism: Punica granatum (pomegranate)
Lineage: Eukaryota; Viridiplantae; Streptophyta; Magnoliopsida; Myrtales; Lythraceae
Source: RefSeq, a predicted model, not a curated record